UUGGAGGGCAAGUCUGGUGCCAGCAGCCGCGGUAAUUCCAGCUCCAAUAGCGUAUAUUAAAGUUGUUGUGGUUAAAAAGCUCGUAGUUGAACCUUGGGCCUGGCUGGCCGGUCCGCCUCACCGCGUGUACUGGUCCGGCCGGGCCUUUCCCUCUGUGGAACCCCCAUGCCCUUCACUGGGUGUGGCGGGGAAACAGGACUUUUACNGUGAAAAAAUUAGAGUGCUCCAGGCAGGCCUAUGCUCGAAUACAUUGGCAUGGAAUAAUAGAAUAGGA
RNAcentral lists this ribosomal RNA (274 nucleotides) under uncultured Ascomycota. RNAcentral's name for it is "partial 18S ribosomal RNA". It matches the Rfam family "Eukaryotic small subunit ribosomal RNA", at positions 548 to 827 of the family's 1831-position model. The record is from RNAcentral. Lineage: Eukaryota; Fungi; Ascomycota.